GCCCUUCCUCUUUUCGUACUCCCGCUUCUCAUCCCGCCAGUAAUUCCCGCAACAAAUCCCGCGAGCCCAGUGCGCCGGAUCUCCGAUUGUGUAACGCCGUCCUCGAGAGGACGAGAUCCCGAUCCCGUUCCCUGCCGCCACACUCCUCGAGCUGCUCCUGCCGCCGCCCCAAAAAUUUGCAGCCGCCUCCUCUUCCCCUCGCGUCCACCUCCCAUCCCAGGCGCCGCCUCCACCGUCUCCUCCCACGUGUUUUCUCCGCCGGAACGGUGUUCCCGGCGAUCGCCCGAGUAGAGGGAGACGAGGAUGCGAGGGAGGAGCUCUGGUCCGGUGGCGCCAUCACCCACAAGUCGACCCAGCCGUUGAUCCCCGUCACGAUUGGACCUCCGGCGGACAUGGGUUGGCCCACUGGAGGGGUCCUCUCCCUAGCGCCGCCGCCGGCAGGUUGCGUUGGUUGAUCUCUGUUUCCAAGAGUUCCAGGAAGUGGAGAGAGGCCCAUCAGUCACAAAAUAAAGCUUACCGAAAAAGACAUGGUCAUCUCAACUUCUCGAGGAUUACAUUGGCGGCUCCAGAAACAUGGCAAAAAGGAAGAUGUUUCGCUCAAGUUUUUUUGUACACCUGCUAAUCUAUCUGCAUGCAUUUUUGUUAUCAUAUGGCCUGAGCUGGCAGCUGAAUAAUGUUGAUGCAAGGUUAUGGCUUCAUUUUGCAGUUUGAUUAUGGCCGUAUUUUACUAUAUAACAAAGUGAUUUAUGACCAUGGGGACAACACAGCUGCUUCAGAUCCAUGUCUUGUCAAGGAGAGGCCAGCAACAUACAACUGGAGUGUCCAUUUUGUUGGCUUACAAUGUGCAAGACUGCAAGUGCAACCCAAAUGUUAAUAGUUUUUUAAUCUUAUUUCCAUCUGUGUGAUCUGGAGGGCAGAUGAGCAUGUCAUGCCCAAUUUCGGGCAUGACACUUCUGAACCAUCAAGAAAAUUGAGGAAACAGCUAUUUGAGAUUACCUCUCUUCGUUCAAAGCAUAAGUUGGUAUAGUGACACUACAAAUAUACUACCAAUGACGUGAAUAUACCUCGCUACUUGGAUGAGAUGCUUGUAAUUUGAUUAUUCAGAAUCAAGAAGAGGUAAACUAAGAAGCGCCUUGUGGCAGCAUUCUGGAGUAUCUGUACUGGCAAGAUCUCGUUUCACCCCCACCCAACCCAAAAUCGAAAGCUGCUCUUUUCUCUGAUGGCUUUCAAGGCAACAAAAAUACAACAGGAUAAAUGCAAGCUUCCUUGGAUGCUCUGCGUGAGACAUAUAUGACACGCAAACAUUUGAUUUUCUUGGUUUCUCUUGCAGCAAAAUGGUCAAUUUUGCAUACCGUCAAAAGGAAAGUGCUCAGUUUUGCAUUGGACACCAAUCAACAAGCUUGUCUCGGUACUUUCAGAAGCAAAAGCAAAAGGUCAAGGUGUAUGUACUUUCUUAGUUUGCUCCUAUGCCUCCACGAUGUAAUGUCCUUGCUUCCUGUUAGUGUUCAUUUUGUUGUUAUUUAGAGAUGAUGCGUCUGUAGUUCAUCAUUUGUUCUCUGAAUAUCUGAAAAACAUGUGGUAAUGUUCUUGCUUUCUGGUACUUUUGUUU
Long non-coding RNA from Brachypodium distachyon (stiff brome), 1609 nucleotides. RefSeq lists it as uncharacterized. The transcript has 5 exons. Lineage: Eukaryota; Viridiplantae; Streptophyta; Magnoliopsida; Poales; Poaceae. The record is from RefSeq and is a predicted model, not a curated record.